AAGAGUAGUGGAAUGGAACUGGGAAGACCAGCCGGAGAGGGUGAAAGCCCCGUAGACGAAACUUGAGCAGAGGCGGCAGGAUCCAGAGUACCACGGGACACGAGAAACCCUGUGGGAAGAAGCGGGGACCACCCCGCAAGGCUAAAUACCCGCUGGUGACCGAUAGAGCACAGUACUGUGAAGGAAAGGUGAAAAGGACCCCGUGAGGGGAGUGAAAGAGAACCUGAACCCCCGCGUCUACAAGCUGUGGGAGUGCCGUAAGAGCACAACCGCGUACUUUUUGUAGAACGGUCCGGCGAGUUGCGCGUGCCGGCAAGGUUAAGCGGAAGACCCGCGGAGCCGAAGGGAAACCGAGUCUGAAAAGGGCAAAGAGAAUCAGAUGAUUCUCAUUAGUCAGUACGCGCAGACCCGAAACCGGGUGAUCUACCCAUGUCCAGGAUGAAGCUGCCGUAAAAGGCAGUGGAGGUCCGAACGCACAUCCGUUGAAAAGGGUGGCGAUGAGGUGUGGGUAGGGGAGAAAUUCCAAUCGAACCCGGAGAUAGCUGGUUCUCCCCGAAAUAGCUUUAGGGCUAGCCCCAUAUUUGUCCUGCCGGAGGUAGAGCACUGGAUUUCCGCGGGGGCGUCAAAGCCUACCAAAGAAUACCAAACUCCGAAUGCCGGCCAGGAAGAGAGCGGGAGUCAGGCUGCACGAGAUAAGUUGGGCAGCCAAAAGGGAAAAAGCCCAGACCCGCGGCUAAGGCCCCAAAGUGCGUGUUAAGUGGAAAAGGAUGUGGGAUUCCGAAGACAGCCAGGAUGUUGGCUCAGAAGCAGCCAUACAUUAAAAGAGUGCGUAACAGCUCACUGGCCGAGGGGUGCCGCGCCGAAAAUGUCCGGGGCUGAAACACGCCGCCGAAGCCCGGGAAAGAGGGGUCGAAAGGCCGCCUCUUUGGUAGGGGAGCAUUGCCGGUUCGAAGAAGCCGUACCGAGAGGAGCGGUGGAGGGCCGGGAAGAGAGAAUGCCGGAAUGAGUAGCGAGAUGGAGGUGGGAAUCCUCCAGGCCGGAUGUCCGAGGUUUCCAGGGUAAAGCUGAUCUGCCCUGGGUGAGUCGGGGCCUAAGGCGAGGCCGAAAGGCGUAGUCGAUGGAUAACAGGUGGAGAAUCCUGUACUGCAAGAUAUCAGAACUGCGGGGACGCAUCAGCGAAGCAUAAGCCGGGAAAGAAGAGACCGGUACAAGCACAGGAGCGGGAUGGCAGGAAAAACCGUCAUUCAACGCGUAAGGUGUGAAGUGGACCGAAAAGAAGUAGGGAAGUAUGCAGAGCAGGUGCCGGGAAAAGCCGCUAUGGCGUAUCAUGCACCCGUACCGGAAACCGACACAGGUGGACAGGGAGAGAAUCCUAAGGCCGACGGGAGAAGCAUUGUCAAGGAACUCGGCAAAAUGGCCCCGUAACUUCGGGAGAAGGGGCGCCUCCGAGAGGAGGCCGCAGAGAAUAGGCCCAAGCAACUGUUUAGCAAAAACACAGGUCUGUGCAAAACCGAAAGGUGAGGUAUACGGGCUGACGCCUGCCCGGUGCCGGAAGGUUAAGAGGAGAGGUAAGGGAAACCAAAGCUUUGAAUUUAAGCCCCGGUAAACGGCGGCCGUAACUAUAACGGUCCUAAGGUAGCGAAAUUCCUUGUCGGGUAAGUUCCGACCCGCACGAAAGGCGUAAUGAUUUGGGCGCUGUCUCGACAAUGCACCCGGUGAAAUUGAAGUGCCAGUGAAGAUGCUGGCUACCUGCGCCAGGACGGAAAGACCCCAUGGAGCUUUACUCCAGCUUGACGCUGGGAGUUGGUGCUGCACGUACAGGAUAGGCGGGAGGCAGAGAGAUAGUGACGCCAGUCACUAAGGAGCCGCCGUUGGGAUACCGCCCCUGCAGCACUGAUUUCCUAACCAUCGCCCGUAAGCCGGGCGGGGGACAAUGUCUGGCGGGGAGUUUGACUGGGGCGGUCGCCUCCGAAAGGGUAUCGGAGGCGCCCAAAGGUUCCCUCAGAAUGGACGGAAACCAUUCAGAGAGUGCAAAGGCAGAAGGGAGCCUGACUGCGACACCGACGGGUGGAGCAGGAGCGAAAGCUGGGCUUAGUGAUCCGGUGGCAUAAAGUGGGAUUGCCAUCGCUCAACGGAUAAAAGCUACCCUGGGGAUAACAGGCUUAUCACCCCCAAGAGUUCACAUCGACGGGGUGGUUUGGCACCUCGAUGUCGGCUCAUCGCAUCCUGGGGCCGCAGCAGGUCCCAAGGGUUGGGCUGUUCGCCCAUUAAAGCGGUACGCGAGCUGGGUUCAGAACGUCGUGAGACAGUUCGGUCCCUAUCCGGCGCAGGCGCAGGAUACUUGAGAGGAGCCGUCCUUAGUACGAGAGGACCGGGAUGGACGGGCCGCUGGUGGACCUGUUGGGAAUCAAUCCCAUGGCAGGGUAGCCAAGCCCGGAAGGGAUAAACGCUGAAGGCAUCUAAGCGUGAAGCCCCCCUUAAGAUGAGGUAU
This 2491-nucleotide ribosomal RNA is filed under the name Acetatifactor muris. Its description in RNAcentral is "bacterial LSU rRNA". It matches the Rfam family "Bacterial large subunit ribosomal RNA", at positions 325 to 2812 of the family's 2925-position model. The record is from RNAcentral. Lineage: Bacteria; Bacillati; Bacillota; Clostridia; Lachnospirales; Lachnospiraceae.